This 301-nucleotide ribosomal RNA is filed under the name uncultured bacterium. Its description in RNAcentral is "partial 16S ribosomal RNA". It matches the Rfam family "Bacterial small subunit ribosomal RNA", at positions 509 to 807 of the family's 1533-position model. The record is from RNAcentral.
CAGCCGCCACGGUAACACGGAGGGUGCAAGCGUUAAUCGGGAUUACUGGGCGUAGAACGCAUGCAGGCGGUUUGUUAAGUCAGAUGUGAAAUCCCCGGGCUCAACCUGGGAACUGCAUCUGAUACUGGCAAGCUUGAGUCUCGUAGAGGGGGGUAGAAUUCCAGGUGUAGCGGUGAAAUGCGUAGAGAUCUGGAGGAAUACCGGUGGCGAAGGCGGCCCCCUGGACGAAGACUGACGCUCAGGUGCGAAAGCGUGGGGAGCAAACAGGAUUAGAUACCCCUGUAGUCCCUGUCUCUUAUAC